Molecule: non-coding RNA, 66 nt
Organism: Dipodomys ordii (Ord's kangaroo rat)
Lineage: Eukaryota; Metazoa; Chordata; Mammalia; Rodentia; Heteromyidae
Source: Rfam
GGUGGCUCAGUGGUAGAGUGCUUGCCUUACAUGCAUGAGGCUCUGGGUUCGAUUCCUUAAGCACCA